GAGUUUGAUCGUGGCUCAGGACGAACGCUGGCGGCGCGCCUAACACAUGCAAGUCGAACGGAGCAUUAAAGUGCUUGCACUGGAAUGCUUAGUGGCGGACGGGUGAGUAACACGUGAGCAACCUGCCUUUCAGAGGGGGAUAACGUUUGGAAACGAACGCUAAUACCGCAUAACGUAUCGAUGGGACAUCCUGUUGAUACCAAAGGAGCAAAUCCGCUGAGAGAUGGGCUCGCGGCCGAUUAGGUAGUUGGCGGGUAACGGCCCACCAAGCCGACGAUCGGUAGCCGGACUGAGAGGUUGAACGGCCACAUUGGGACUGAGACACGGCCCAGACUCCUACGGGAGGCAGCAGUGGGGGAUAUUGCACAAUGGGGGAAACCCUGAUGCAGCGACGCCGCGUGAGGGAAGACGGCC
RNAcentral lists this ribosomal RNA (414 nucleotides) under uncultured bacterium. Its description in RNAcentral is "bacterial SSU rRNA". It matches the Rfam family "Bacterial small subunit ribosomal RNA", at positions 9 to 416 of the family's 1533-position model. The record is from RNAcentral.